Molecule: long non-coding RNA, 328 nt
Filed under: Mytilus galloprovincialis (Mediterranean mussel)
Lineage: Eukaryota; Metazoa; Mollusca; Bivalvia; Mytilida; Mytilidae
Source: RNAcentral
CUGUAUCUUUAUCCAAAUAAGAGAAGAUCGCCAUGACAAAAGACAACAUCAUGGUCUAGAGAAGAAAAGAAUUAAUUACAAAAAACGGUUCAAAAAAAUUGUACUGAAAACUACCAGGCUCAAGUUAGCAGACACUCGCUAGCAUGAAAAUUAGUACGAACAUCCGUCAGAGCUCCCUUCUAAAAUCAGGAGUUAAAUCGGAUGCUUCUUCUAAAAUCAGAAAUUAAACCGGAUGCUCAAGAGUCCCUUGCUAAAACAGGUUUCAAAUUGGAUGCCUCCUUGCUCAAAUAAAGUUUUUAAAAAAAUGUUAUCUGAUGUUAAUUUGAUA